Serinus canaria (Common canary) is the source of this 465-nucleotide long non-coding RNA. RefSeq lists it as uncharacterized. The record is from RefSeq and is a predicted model, not a curated record. The transcript is spliced from 2 exons. Lineage: Eukaryota; Metazoa; Chordata; Aves; Passeriformes; Fringillidae.
UCCCAAGAGCCACCAGCCAGGGGAGCGGUGGCCACAGCAGCGAGUGACAGCCAGUCCACAUGGCUGGGGACACCGGGAUGGCCAAGAAGGUGGCACUGCCCCUGUGGGCCGUUCAAGGCCUGAGUGAAAACGACAUCCCUUCCCGUAUAAGAACAUUUAUACAGAUGAUGUUUGAGGGAAAAGCUGCGGAACUACUUUCAUCUGCUGGCUCAGAAGAACCAGUGUCUCUUUAAGACCUUGGAAGGUGAGACCACCUGGAGACCAGAGGAGACCAGCUGGAGUUCCAGGCACAGCUGAUGACUGGCACAGCUGAGCCUGUGGGAAGCUCCCAUAUCUCAUGCCUUCUCCCUUCCUGGUAACAGCUCCCUCCCUCCAGCCCUCAGACCCUGCCCAUCCCCUUUUUCCCUCCCAGCUCAUCCCUUUGUUUCACCUUCCAUUAAUAAACUGUUUGGCUUCUUCACUUUA